AAGGUCUGACCUGCCCACUGAAAUUUUUAAAUGGCCGCAGUAUUCUAACUGUGCAAAGGUAGCAUAAUCAUUAGUCUUUUAAUUGAAGGCUGGUAUGAACGGUUGGACGAGGUAUAAGCUGUUUCAUAUAAAUUUAUAAUAGAAUUUUAUAUUUUAGUCAAAAAGCUAAAAUAUUAUUAAAAGACGAGAAGACCCUAUAAAUCUUUAUAUUUUUUUUUAUUUAAAUUUUUUGGAUUUAUUUUAUUUUUAUAAUGGAGAAUAUUUUGUUGGGGUGAUGUUAAAAUUUAAUGAACUUUUAAUUAUAAAAAUCAUUAAUUUAUGAGUUAUUGAUCCAUUAGUAGUGAUUAUAARAUUAAGUUACUUUAGGGAUAACAGCGUAAUUUUUUUGGAGAGUUCAUAUCGAUAAAAAAGUUUGCGACCUCGAUGUUGGAUUAAGAUAUAAUUUUAGGUGUAGCCGCUUAAAU
Molecule: ribosomal RNA, 464 nt
Filed under: Zeugodacus cucurbitae (melon fly)
Lineage: Eukaryota; Metazoa; Arthropoda; Insecta; Diptera; Tephritidae
Description: partial large subunit ribosomal RNA
Source: RNAcentral